CAGCGGCAUGGCCAUUAUAUAUACACACACAACAUGCGAAGCUGUGAAUCAUGGUUGUUCGUUGAACAAGCUCGGUUUUCUAGCAACUUGGUUUGAGUUAAAUGUGUUGUAUCUUAUUUUAGUCUCGAUUCUCCCCUACAAUGCAGAAAGUCAACGUUUCAAGAUUUUUGUCUUUUUGUGUGUACACAGCCACGCAUAUUUUCUCGUGCUACUUACGUUUCGUUCAAAAUACAUGUCGCUUUAUAGUUGCAUACAAGGGAUUGAGGAUAGAUUGUGAAAAACUAAGGUUACAAAAGCUGAUGACAGUUUGGCGACUUGUAUUUUCGGUGGAUUGCGUAGUCGUCUCUGAUGUCAAAAGUGUAUUAUAUAUGCCGCCCUAUAAAAUACAAAAUCCAUAAUUAAUAAACUUAAAUAAACGCAAAUGAUUCAUAGAAAUUUGAAGUUGUGUACAUACAGAUAUCCCCCCACAAACAAAGCACCUCCAAGGGUCCUCCAAUAAAAUAUUUCCCAAUACUCCAUCCGUUUAUGUUUAUAAGGCAUGGUAUAACUUCGCAUGGUCUUCCAAAUUAUACUUUGACUAUUCAUUUAUCUAUCUU
This 596-nucleotide long non-coding RNA is filed under the name Setaria viridis. Its description in RNAcentral is "long non-coding RNA (SVIR_LNC005671)". Lineage: Eukaryota; Viridiplantae; Streptophyta; Magnoliopsida; Poales; Poaceae. The record is from RNAcentral.